This 688-nucleotide ribosomal RNA is filed under the name uncultured bacterium. RNAcentral's name for it is "bacterial SSU rRNA". It matches the Rfam family "Bacterial small subunit ribosomal RNA", at positions 8 to 691 of the family's 1533-position model. The record is from RNAcentral.
AGAGUUUGAUCAUGGCUCAGAUUGAACGCUGGCGGAAUGCUUUACACAUGCAAGUCGAACGGCAGCACGGGGGCAACCCUGGUGGCGAGUGGCGAACGGGUGAGUAAUACAUCGGAACGUGCCCAGUCGUGGGGGAUAACGUAGCGAAAGCUACGCUAAUACCGCAUGAGAUCCAAGGAUGAAAGCGGGGGAUCGCAAGACCUCGCGCGAUUGGAGCGGCCGAUGGCAGAUUAGGUAGUUGGUGGGGUAAAGGCCUACCAAGCCUGCGAUCUGUAGCUGGUCUGAGAGGACGACCAGCCACACUGGGACUGAGACACGGCCCAGACUCCUACGGGAGGCAGCAGUGGGGAAUUUUGGACAAUGGGCGCAAGCCUGAUCCAGCCAUUCCGCGUGCAGGAUGAAGGCCUUCGGGUUGUAAACUGCUUUUGUACGGAACGAAACGGUCCUGGUUAAUACCCGGGGCUAAUGACGGUACCGUAAGAAUAAGCACCGGCUAACUACGUGCCAGCAGCCGCGGUAAUACGUAGGGUGCAAGCGUUAAUCGGAAUUACUGGGCGUAAAGCGUGCGCAGGCGGUGAUGUAAGACAGAUGUGAAAUCCCCGGGCUCAACCUGGGAACUGCAUUUGUGACUGCAUUGCUGGAGUGCGGCAGAGGGGGAUGGAAUUCCGCGUGUAGCAGUGAAAUGCGU